RNAcentral lists this ribosomal RNA (550 nucleotides) under uncultured bacterium. RNAcentral describes it as "bacterial SSU rRNA". It matches the Rfam family "Bacterial small subunit ribosomal RNA", at positions 355 to 896 of the family's 1533-position model. The record is from RNAcentral.
UGGGGAAUUUUGCGCAAUGGACGAAAGUCUGACGCAGCAACGCCGCGUGGGUGACGAAGGUCUUCGGAUCGUAAAACCCUGUCGUCAGGGACGAAGGUAGGGAGUUUAAUACGCUCUUUGCUUGACGGUACCUGGAGAGGAAGCCCCGGCUAACUCUGUGCCAGCAGCCGCGGUAAUACAGAGGGGGCAAGCGUUAUUCGGAAUUAUUGGGCGUAAAGGGCGCGUAGGCGGUUCUGUAAGUAGGAUGUGCAAUCCCCGAGCUCAACUUGGGAACUGCAUCCUAGACUGCAAGACUAAAGUGCUGGAGAGGGUGGUAGAAUUCCACGUGUAGCGGUGAAAUGCGUAGAGAUGUGGAGGAAUACCAGUGGCGAAGGCGGCCACCUGGACAGUAACUGACGCUGAGGCGCGAAAGUGUGGGUAGCAAACAGGAUUAGAUACCCUGGUAGUCCACGCUGUAAACGAUGAACACUUGGUGUGGCGGGAGUUGACCCCUGCCGUGCCGGAGCUAACGCGUUAAGUGUUCCGCCUGGGGAGUACGGUCGCAAGGCUG